UAAACCUGCCGCUUGAUUGAUGUUGCGUAGGAGCAUAACCGGCAAGCCUACCUUCAGUUUUAGCUCGUGGUUUGGAAUUCCUGGGAAGGUCAAUUUGUUAAGGAACUCUGUUGAACACAUAUUCUCCAUUGUGUUGUAAUUUGUUGUUGCCUUGCAUACAGUGUCCAAGCUUAGGUAUGUCACCUCUUCACCUUGUAUUUGGCUCAUUACGUAGUCAUUUAUCUUAUCAAUUGUUUCAUUCCUUGGACAUAGUAUUGCUCUUUCUUCAAGAAAUUCAUGGUCACGAUAGUUUUGGUGCAAGUUUGGGUACGUGCUUUUCACUAUCGCUUCUUUCGGGUCUUCUCCUUUUUGCAGAAUUAUGUCUUUAGGUAUUUUUACCCAAUCAUCUCCUUCAUCGUUUGUUUGUUUUCCGUCGCCAAUUUGUAAUAUCCAUUAUGCAAAUUCAGCCACAUUUUGCUUUUGUAUUGGAUCUUCUGACAGGCACUUCAGCCGCAUGUUUUCAGUUGGUCUAAAUAUUUCGAAGUGCUUCCAUAGGUAUGACCUUUUGACUGAGGCAUUUACUAUCUGCUCUCUCUUUCCCUUUGUAACCGCUGGAAGUAUUUGUCUGAAGUCGCCUCCUAGCACAACUGUCAUGCCACCAAAUGGCCUUUCGUCACUGUUUUGGUUUUGGAACCUUAGAAUAUCCCUAAGGCUUUUGUCUAGUGCCUCGAAGCAGUGUUUGUGUGCCAUAGGAGCCUCGUCCCACAGUAUCAGUGAGGUCCUCUUUACCAGUUCAGCCAAAUGUGAGCCUUGUUUUAUUUCACAUGUUGAUUCUUCUGUGAUAUUUAUUGAAAUGUGGAAUCUUGAGUGCGCUGUUCUUCCACCUUGGAGGAGCAAUGCUGCAAUGCCAGAUGAUGCUACCGCAAGCACUAUUUUCCCCUCCGAUCGUAGCUUUGUUGUGAUUGCUUUCCAUAGAUAAGUUUUGCCUGUGCCACCGUAGCCCUCUACAAAUAUCUGUUUUCCAAGUCCUCUGUAAGCUGAUUCCAUUAUGGCAUCAAAGGCAAUUUUCUGGCCAUAGUUAAGAUUGCUAACUAUGGUUUGGUGCUCAAUCUUUAGUGCUUGUGUGUCGUAGCUAAGUUCUUCAUUUAUCAUUCUGUUCCCAAGUUGUUCAAGUUCAGUAGCAUUUGGUAGUUCUAUGCCUGGAUAGUCCUUUAGUGUCUUUCCAGCUUGCCUCAUUAGUUUCUCUAUCUCGAUCAGAGCAUAUGAUUUUUUUCUGUGAAUCAGUUAGCUGCAGCGUAGGAAAGUUUAGGAUUAUUCUUCUUUUGUACUGGAUAUCUUCAGAUAGUGCCUCCCAUGUUGAAUCCCACAACAUUUUUGGGCUAGUCACCUCACAAUGGCAUAAUAUUGUGGUGAAUAGCUGCCGUAAUCGUAUCCCUGAUCCCCAACUUGAUGCUUCAUUGAUGCAUUCAAUCCACUCACUAUCGUCAUCAAGAAAUCCAAGCGCUUGGCAUGCUGAUUUGUAUGUUGGGUGAACUACUCCAUUAAUUGUUCUAAUAUCCUCAAAUGAUGUGCAUCCUUUCUUGAUGUUUAGAAGCAUUCUCAUAUAAUACCGGUCACCACUUGCAGGGUGUGCAUAGUAAAUUCUUCCAAUUGCAAAGCCCCUUUUGCGCUUCUCCCAAGUUUUGGAGUCACUUUUCCAUACAAAUUUUGAUGGGAAUUCUGCAUAGGUUAAUUCUUUUCCCACCUCAUGUAUUUUGUUUGCCUCCAUCCACUCAGUGAACUUAGUACUUGUGGAUCCUGGCAUUCUUACUAAUUUUUCAAUGUCAGUCGAGUCUGGAAAAAUAACUUGUUGCUCGUUUUCAAUGUGGAAUGGCAGUCUCUCUACUGGUGGAUCACGAUGGUGUAGAUCAAACUGGAAUAUCCACUAGCAUGCUUCGGUUGUUGAUAUGUAUCUCAUCUCUAGGUAUUUCUUGAUUUCAUCAUAGUCGCUUGUCGCGUCCCUUUCCUUUAGUAAGGCUGUUACUUGGUCGUCAUCUUUAUGGAUGUACUUAAAUAGGUACUUGAUUGACCUGGACCUGUUGCACCAUUCCGCAUUUAUGUGAGCUUGGAAUUUGACCAAAAGGUUUCUGUUGUAUGGCACAACAAACCUGUUAUCGAGCAUUGCUCCUCCCUUUUUGAUAUUCCUUCCAUUGUCUCGCCUUCUAUAUACUGGAAAGCCAUCCUCAUCGAUUGUCGUAUCGAUAUUGUACCGUUUUGGGAAGUGUUUAGUGCAUUUGUUGUCUAUCAUGCAUGGUGAUUUUGUAUUUGCCUCUCCGCAAGGCCCGUGCAUCAUGAAGUUUUCAACAGCUUCAUAUCCGUCCAGAUCAACAUCUUUGUCUGGGAUCUCCGCACUGAUUAUUUGGUUGAUUUCUGAUGGUCCUUUGCACUUGAGUCCCCUCUUCUGGAACUCUAUUGUGUAGAUAACUGCAUUGAUUGAAUAUAUAGUUUUAUUUUGUUAAAAUUUGGAAUCAUUUUAAUAAAUAGAUAAAGGCUAUUGUGUGUUUAAAAAUUGAAACUUUAGGUCCUAUUAGUUAGCGAUUAGUAGUCGACUGAUCUUACUUGCUAUAGUUUCUCCAAAGUGUUUCUUCACAACGAUAUCUCUCAUUAGCUCCUUCAGUUUUAUCAUGAAUACUCGGUCAACAAUAUUUGGUCGGUCGGCUGGCUUGAGGCCUCCUCCUGCUUCAUCUAGCAUGUAUUGGAUCUCAGGACACUUUGCAUUGCAUGUGAAUGUUAUAAAUAGGUCUGGAUAUCCAGCCCAACGGCAUAUUGCAAAUGCGUCUUGCAAGUUUUGUGCCUUGUUUCUUCUACCUCCUGUAUAAGAUGAAGGUACAAUUAUUCUCUUUCCGACCUGCUCUGUUCUGGUGUCCCCUCGCUCAAUCACGUCAUGUAGUCCACUGUAAAGUUCAGUUCGUAGCUUCCCUUGAUUAUUCCUGAUCCAGUUUAGUCUGUUUUGCUCAAUGCAUGUGUAAACAUCCACCCAAAAUUGAAGCGAGAGAUGUCUAGAUGUUAGCAACGACAUUCCUUGGUCGGGUCUUUGUUGUAGGUAGUAUGCAUAGUAGUCUAGCAUAGUUACAUAUUUCCUGCUUUUGUCACCUUCUUUUAUUCGCUUGUAAGGUAUUUCAAGCUUGAAUCCAUCUUCUCCGUAUGGAAACAAUAACGGGUAUUGCAUUGACAUUAAUUUUGGAUGGAUUUCCGAUAUUCUGUGAGGUUCCAUAUUUUUGUACUCAACAACGAUGUCUCGUCCUUCGCUCUCUCCAGUAGGGUCUCUUACAACUAAUGCUGCAACUUCUGAUGCUGAUGGAAGGUUGUGUGUUCCGUUCCUUUUCCCAAGUAUUCGAAGCGUGUAAUCGUGGUAGUCUUCUUCUUCGAAUCUAUCUCUUGCCAUUCUGAUUGACUUUGCAAGGAUGUUGUUCUCAUCAAGCAUUUCUUGUAGUUCCUUGACAAUGGCAGGGUCCACUGUUGUUUUUUUAUCAUUGCAUCUUGAAGCAUCUAUCCUGUUUUGUACCUCAUUUUCUAUCUGAUAGAUGUAUAGCUGGGCAAAUCGAGGUUUGUUACCUUCUUCGGGUAGAAGAGUUCCAAUAUGGUGGUAGUUCUGGCCAUGCAGUCUAAAAACAUAUGGUCCUUUGCCUUUGUUUAUUUCUUUGUCAACAGUUCCUCCCAUUGACGUGAAUGAGAACAUUGAGUUGUAUGACCUUAUAUUUUCUCUGAAGUUUGUUGCAUCACUUCCUUCACCUGUUAAUAGCCCUGCAAGGUAAGGUGGAGGAUAUGCUAUCUUUGGUAGGCCAAUUUUACCAUGUUUGCAGCAAAUUCCGAAAGAAGGUUUUUUGGUUCCUCUAUGAGAAUUUAAUCUUUCUUCACACCAUAGUAUUGCAUUGCAAUGUUCGCAUAUGUAUGUUGGCUUUCCAAAGUUCCAUAUCGUGCUAUAAUAACUUCUGGACGUAGUGCUGCUGGUUCUUUCUAUGAUGUUGCUUUCAAGCUCAUUGUCGCUUGCAUUUUUUCUUGCAUGCUUGACAUCUUUUCUUUCUUUGAUUUGUUCCUUUCUCUUCCGUGAAGCAUCUUCUUCUGUUUUAUAGGUUGUUUCCUGUGUAUUCCUGCAUCUCUUACUCCUUUUUUGUUGGAGUUGUUGUUUCCUCCUGAUAAUAGCUUCUCUAGCUUCUUUUGUAAGUUGGCCUGCUGAUUUUGAUGUGCACUGUCCCUUCAUUUCUGCAUUGGAUAUUCUUUUAGCAAUAUAGUAUAAUAUAAUUCUAAUUUCUGCAUAAUGUCGUCAAGAGGCUAACGAUAUAUGCAAUAAAUAGGAGAUGGUGGCUGCAUGUAGACAAUCUAUAAUACUUCGAUCAUGCUUUCAGGAUUACUGUGUUUUGUGGUUCGAGCUGCUGUGUAUGGCAUUAUUGGAGGGACAGUGUGCUUGUUUCUCAGUGAACGACAAUUGUUCCAUGGGAAUUACUAAGGCAAAGUACUCUCUAAGAUCAUUGUUAGCAAUAUACGUAAAGUUAUUAGGUUCUGCAAUAUUAACAAAGGUAAAUAUUUGAAAUGUAUAUGUUACAAAUGUACAAAAAAAAGUGUGCAUUACAUGAAGAUUGUAAAAUCUCAAUGAUAUACCUGAUAAUGUUUUCUUGUCUUUGUUUUUCUAAUUUUGUAAAGCUUCACACGCAUGUGCUAAUUAUUGUCGUAAUUGUAUCUUUGCUGCAAAGCCAAUCCUGUAGCGAUCUUGGAAAAUAUUUUAUACCAUGUACAAAUUAUUAGAGCAUAUUUUUUAUUGCUGCAGUGACUUUAUCAGUCUGUGAGUCACUUUUAGUUCAUCACAGAAGCUGUUACUAUUUUCUCAAAGAAAAUAAAGUUUAUGUGAAGAGCCAAGGCAAG
This 4878-nucleotide long non-coding RNA is filed under the name Triticum aestivum (bread wheat). Its description in RNAcentral is "long non-coding RNA (TAES_LNC027032)". The record is from RNAcentral. Lineage: Eukaryota; Viridiplantae; Streptophyta; Magnoliopsida; Poales; Poaceae.